GAAAACAACGUAACAGGAAAGAAUAUUCAUAAAAUUAAUAAAACGUCAACUUUAAAGCAAUUAGUAGAACCUGUGUAGUGCUCAGAUAGUAAAAUUCGACAUCAUAAUGGAGUUAUAUGUAUGUAUGUGAUGAUGUUGGUUGGACUAGUGACAAGACUGUCCUUUAACCGUUCACAGAUAUGUGCUUUGUUUUCGUAAUAAGUGUCCUGAUCGAACAAUAGAGCAAUGGAGCUGGAACUGGUACAGACUCGUGGAAUCCCACUGUCUAAUUAAAUCAGAGGGGACAAAUGAUUGUUGCGGACGUUUACUGCUAAUUUCUGCCCAGUGCUCUGAAUUUUAAAUCGUAGUAAUUCGAGUAAGUGUCGGUUAACGCCGUGAAAGACUUUAACAUUCUUAAGGUAAUCAAAUGUCUCGUCAGCUGACUACUGACCCGUAUGAAUAUAUUAACAAAAUCCUGACUAUCCCUAACUACUAUCUAACAAAACCGCAGCCAAAGGAACGGGCUUGGUAAAAAUAGCGGGGAAAGAAUAACCUGUUGAGAAUGACAGUUUGACAUUGCCAGGAAUCAUAAGAGGUGUACUAUAGGUGGGUGAUUAAUGAUUAGUAAUCUUUGAUCGACAAUGAAAUACCACCACUUUCAUCGGUUUUUCACUUAUUCGGUAAGAAGAGGAUUGAGUUUUGACUUUUUGUCCUAUCUCUUAUUGUUGUCCUAUCUACUUUAUUUGUUAUAAGUACGGUCAUCUGGUGACUAAACGAUUCUCACCGAAGACAGUGUCAGGCGGGAAGCUUGACUGGUUCUGUACAUCCGUUAAAAUGUAACGCAGAUGUCCUAAGGUUAGCUCAGUGAGGACGGAAAUCUCUCGCGGAGUAGAAGGGAAAAAGGUUGCUCGAUUUUGACUUUCAGUACGAGUACAGAUCGCGGAAACUUAGCUUAUCAAUCUUUUAAUCCAGAUAGUAUCCGUUAAAGGGUGUCGAAAAAGUUACCACAGACACAUAUUUUAAAUUGAGCUUAUAAGAUUA
This 1020-nucleotide non-coding RNA is filed under the name Dictyocaulus viviparus (bovine lungworm). Its description in RNAcentral is "Eukaryotic large subunit ribosomal RNA". It matches the Rfam family "Eukaryotic large subunit ribosomal RNA", at positions 2018 to 2960 of the family's 3401-position model. The record is from Rfam by way of RNAcentral. Lineage: Eukaryota; Metazoa; Nematoda; Chromadorea; Rhabditida; Metastrongylidae.